AUGGCGGCCGCCACCAACACCAAGCAGAAGCAGCCGGCACCAAUGCCGGAGCUUGCCAACGGCGAGAAAGCCGAAGCGGUGGUCGAGAACCUGGCAGCGGGAGUGAUACGGGGCACCGAGGAAGGGAAAGCCAAAGCUGUAGCCGCUGCCGUGGAAGCCAAAGCGGUGCUGGAGAAGAAGGCCACGGCAUGCAGCGGCUGGAAAGAGCGCGUGGCAGGGGUGCUGGAGCAGCUGACAAACAUGAAGUGGGCGGACGGCGUGGUGGAGAAGGCAAGGAACAACAAGGAGGUGGUCGCCAUAGCCAUCGCUGCUUUCUCGCUCGGCUUCUUCGUCUCUCACAAGUUAUUCAGGAAGUGA
This 357-nucleotide ribosomal RNA is filed under the name Triticum aestivum (bread wheat). Its description in RNAcentral is "partial small subunit ribosomal RNA". Lineage: Eukaryota; Viridiplantae; Streptophyta; Magnoliopsida; Poales; Poaceae. The record is from RNAcentral.